RNAcentral lists this ribosomal RNA (274 nucleotides) under uncultured bacterium. Its description in RNAcentral is "partial 16S ribosomal RNA". It matches the Rfam family "Bacterial small subunit ribosomal RNA", at positions 523 to 796 of the family's 1533-position model. The record is from RNAcentral.
AUACAGAGGGUGCGAGCGUUAAUCGGAAUUACUGGGCGUAAAGCGCGCGUAGGCGGCUUAUUAAGUCAGAUGUGAAAUCCCCGGGCUCAACCUGGGAACUGCAUCUGAUACUGGUAAGCUAGAGUUUUAGAGAGGGAAGUAGAAUUUCAGGUGUAGCGGUGAAAUGCAUAGAGAUCUGAAGGAAUACCAGUGGCGAAGGCGACUUCCUGGCCAAAAACUGACGCUGAGGUGCGAAAGCGUGGGUAGCAAACGGAAUUAGAAACCCCGGUAGUCC